RNAcentral lists this RNase P RNA (395 nucleotides) under Actinomycetota bacterium. RNAcentral's name for it is "Actinobacteria bacterium (freshwater metagenome) RNase P RNA component class A". It matches the Rfam family "Bacterial RNase P class A". Rfam says of the family: Ribonuclease P (RNase P) is a ubiquitous endoribonuclease, found in archaea, bacteria and eukarya as well as chloroplasts and mitochondria. Its best characterised activity is the generation of mature 5'-ends of tRNAs by cleaving the 5'-leader elements of precursor-tRNAs. Lineage: Bacteria; Bacillati; Actinomycetota. The record is from RNAcentral.
UGAGUCGGCCAGGCGGCCGCGUACCGACCCUUCCUCGUGGAGGUGAUCGGUCCGAGGAACGUCCGGACUCCACAGGGCACGGUGCUGGGUAACACCCAGUCGGGGCGACCCGAAGGAAAGUGCCACAGAGAACAGACCGCCGAUGGCGGGUCAAUCUCCGGAGUGACCCGCACAGGCAAGGGUGAAACGGUGCGGUAAGAGCGCACCAGCAUCCGGGGUGACCCGGGUGGCUCGGCAAACCCCGCCAGGAGCAAGGUCGAACAGGGGGAGUGCGGCCCGCACGCAGACACCCCCGGGUGGACCGCUAGAGGUGACGGGCAACCGUCACCCGAGAGGGAUGGCCGUCGGGCGUCGCGAGACGCUCACAGAAUCCGGCGUACCGGCCGACUCACCAC